AUUGAACGCUGGCGGAAUGCUUUACACAUGCAAGUCGAACGGUAACGGGCCUUCGGGUGCCGACGAGUGGCGAACGGGUGAGUAAUGCAUCGGAACGUACCUUUCAGUGGGGGAUAACGUAGCGAAAGUUACGCUAAUACCGCAUAUUCUGUGAGCAGGAAAGCAGGGGAUCGCAAGACCUUGCGCUGAUUGAGCGGCCGAUGUCAGAUUAGCUAGUUGGUGAGGUAAAGGCUCACCAAGGCGACGAUCUGUAGCGGGUCUGAGAGGAUGAUCCGCCACACUGGAACUGAGACACGGUCCAGACUCCUACGGGAGGCAGCAGUGGGGAAUUUUGGACAAUGGGGGCAACCCUGAUCCAGCCAUGCCGCGUGAGUGAAGAAGG
This 382-nucleotide ribosomal RNA is filed under the name uncultured bacterium. Its description in RNAcentral is "bacterial SSU rRNA". It matches the Rfam family "Bacterial small subunit ribosomal RNA", at positions 30 to 414 of the family's 1533-position model. The record is from RNAcentral.